This is a non-coding RNA of Pseudomonas lutea, 70 nucleotides long. NCBI's taxonomy places the organism in Bacteria, Pseudomonadati, Pseudomonadota, Gammaproteobacteria, Pseudomonadales, Pseudomonadaceae. The record is from Rfam.
GGCGUGCGUUUUGCUAGUUAGACCUCACAGGUAGCCAACGGCGGUUGCCCACUCACGACACAGACGUCGC